RNAcentral lists this ribosomal RNA (510 nucleotides) under uncultured bacterium. RNAcentral describes it as "partial 16S ribosomal RNA". It matches the Rfam family "Bacterial small subunit ribosomal RNA", at positions 28 to 507 of the family's 1533-position model. The record is from RNAcentral.
GACGAACGCUGGCGGCGUGCUUAACACAUGCAAGUCGAACGAAGAGCGAUGGACGCUUGCUUCUAUCAAUCUUAGUGGCGAACGGGUGAGUAACGCGUAAUCAACCUGCCCUUCAGAGGGGGACAACAGUUGGAAACGACUGCUAAUACCGCAUACGAUCUGACCUCAGCAUCGAGGAUAGAUGAAAGGUGGCCUCUACAUGUAAGCUAUCACUGAAGGAGGGGAUUGCGUCUGAUUAGCUAGUUGGAGGGGUAACGGCCCACCAAGGCGAUGAUCAGUAGCCGGUCUGAGAGGAUGAACGGCCACAUUGGGACUGAGACACGGCCCAGACUCCUACGGGAGGCAGCAGUGGGGAAUCUUCCGCAAUGGACGAAAGUCUGACGGAGCAACGCCGCGUGAGUGAUGACGGCCUUCGGGUUGUAAAGCUCUGUUAAUCGGGACGAAAGGCCUUUUUGCGAAUAGUGAGAAGGAUUGACGGUACCGGAAUAGAAAGCCACGGCUAACUACGUG